Molecule: small nuclear RNA, 107 nt
Filed under: Aotus nancymaae (Ma's night monkey)
Lineage: Eukaryota; Metazoa; Chordata; Mammalia; Primates; Aotidae
Source: RNAcentral
GUGCUCGCUUUGGCAGCACGUAUACUGAAAUUGGAAUGACACAGAGAAAAUUAGCAUGGCCCCUGCAUAAGGAUGACAUGCAAAUUCAUGAAGCGUUCCAUAUUUUU